GUUCAGCUGACGAGUCCUAAAUAGGACGAAACGCGCGUCCUGGAU
Molecule: non-coding RNA, 45 nt
Filed under: Schistosoma haematobium
Lineage: Eukaryota; Metazoa; Platyhelminthes; Trematoda; Strigeidida; Schistosomatidae
Source: RNAcentral